AGAGCUCAAAUUUAAAAUCUGUCAGUCUUUGGCUGGCUGAGUUGUAAAUUAGAGAAGUGCUAUCAGUGCUGGCCUGUGCAAAAGUCUCUUGGAAAAGAGCAUCAUAGAGGGUGACAAUCCCGUCUUUGGUACAGAUCUCCAGUGCUUCCAUGAUGCGCUCUCGAUGAGUCGAGUUGUUUGGGAAUGCAGCUCUAAAUGGGUGGUAAAUUCCAUCUAAAGCUAAAUAUUGGCGAGAAACCGAUAGCGCA
RNAcentral lists this ribosomal RNA (248 nucleotides) under Clavaria sp. 7 CRJH-2017. RNAcentral's name for it is "partial 28S ribosomal RNA". It matches the Rfam family "Eukaryotic large subunit ribosomal RNA", at positions 104 to 344 of the family's 3401-position model. The record is from RNAcentral. Lineage: Eukaryota; Fungi; Basidiomycota; Agaricomycetes; Agaricales; Clavariaceae.